Molecule: long non-coding RNA, 1464 nt
Organism: Coffea arabica (coffee)
Lineage: Eukaryota; Viridiplantae; Streptophyta; Magnoliopsida; Gentianales; Rubiaceae
Source: RefSeq, a predicted model, not a curated record
UUAAGCCCGGGAGGACCGGUAGCUGAUCACCUCUUUGUUACGAAAAACAUUUUUCGCGUCCACCGAACCACUGCUAUAGUACACUUCUCUCUAUCUCUACUCUAUACAAUUCAAAUUCAGAGGCACAAAGCAGCCAGCAGGAAAGACAGAGACGCUGCUAUAGUGCAGUUUGUGUGGUAAUAUACUAUAUCAUUCUUCAGGCUGAAUGGGGAAAAUAGUAUGUACGGAGCUUAGUGGAGGAGGCGAUGGAGUUGAUCUGAUGGGCCUUCUCCUGGCGUUUGCAAUUGCUCUAGUGCUCAUGUUAAUAUGCGCCGCACAACCACCAGCUCGUCGGAGACUCGUGGCAGUCUAUCCAGCCUAUCAUUAAUGACCUGUUAAUAAAAAUGUGGGGUGGGUUCUGCCUCUGUUCAGUCAUUUUUCCCCGCCUUCUCCCUUGCGUCUUACAGGUGGUACUUUGGCAUAUCUUUUCCAGUGUUAUGAUUAAUGUAGUUGUCGUAUUGUAGGUGGCAAAGAUUGUUGUACGAUCAUAUGCAUCUGCAAAUCUACCCUUUAGCACCGUGUCGUCUAGUGGAGGUUCUGUUUUUCGUUUUUGGUUUUGGAUGAAAAUUUUGGCUGCAUGCUUAUCUAUCAAUCCGGCAUCUCAUCAGUUAACUAUUCUAUUGUCCUGUGGAUAAUAAGCUUUGCUCUGCGGGCAACAGGUUCAAUUUUCCCAACUGAUUCGUCCAUUUCAUGCAAAUCAAUUCUUUCUAGGGUCGUAUACGAACAUGGGCUCUCUCAUUUUGAUGCAAAAGUAGAACUAUUACUCGGUUCAUCACUUUAUUUGGAUUGGGGCAAUUGGACCUGUGCGGAGUAAGAAUCAACUUUUACCCUCAGAAAUUGGAUGAGGGGCAGCAACAAUACCGGGGAGAAUCAUAAGCAGAGAGAGAGAGAGAGAGAGAUCGCUAGAGGAUUAGAUUUACUGAGGAAAGGAAAGGUCAUAAAAAAAAAAAAGAGCAGGGUGGUUUUGCAGGAUUUGAUUCGACCACACAGAUGACUUUUCUUCUGUAAGGUUGUCUGUCAGGCAGAGCCAAUUUGAGUGGGAUGUAGCGUUAGACCAAUGCUUUCCUAGGAAAUUAAUGAAAAAUAAGGGGGGAAAAAAAACGAGCCAGGGUUUAGCCUCUGACAACAUAAGAUAAGUAAGUGCACACGUGCACCAUGCGUGCGGUAUUAGCAAUCACUUGAUAAACAGUAGUGUUGGACGAAUGACACCUAACUCUCAUUAAUUGGCGCUAAAUGAGCGGUGAUACUGAUAUGACAUAACCACUCAAUACUUUCUAGGGUAGAGAAGAAUUACUGUCCAAAUUGUUCAGGCUAAUAUCACAGGUUAAUCAACUUACAUUGUUGGAUGAUUUGUAAAAUUUGAACGGGAAUCUUGAUUUAUGAGUUUAGGUGAGAAACCCUUAAUCUCAAAUUCGCCAUUCCAAA